RNAcentral lists this long non-coding RNA (932 nucleotides) under Homo sapiens (human). RNAcentral's name for it is "non-protein coding lnc-ADIRF-1:3". Lineage: Eukaryota; Metazoa; Chordata; Mammalia; Primates; Hominidae. The record is from RNAcentral.
GUUACUUGUUAUUGGUAAAUAGCCACUGUGGAGACUAAGGACCAAAAGAAACACAGAAAGAAAUUUUACAGAAGAAAAACAGUGGGCCCAAAGCUGAAAAGAAAAAGAAGCAGCAUCUGCAGGAUCUCCAGCUAGGGGAUGAAGAAGAUGUCUGGAAGAGAAAUCCCAAAGCUUUUGCAAUUCAGUCUGCUGUGGGGAUGGCUUGAUCCUUUCACAGGACUCAGGAUUUGAAGACAAAAAAGCAUCAUAUUCCAGUGGUUGAUCAGACUCCACUAGAGCCGCCACCAAUAGUGAUAGUGGUGACGGGGCCUCCAAAAGUUGGAAAGAGCACUUUGAUAUAAUGCCUCAUUGGGAACUUCACCCAGCAGAAGUUGACCGAGAUCAGAGGCCCUGUGAUGAUCGUGUCAGGUAAAAAGCUCCGACUCACCAUUAUUGAAUGUGGGUGUGACAUUAACAUGAUGAUUGAUCUGGCUGAAGUAGCAGAUCUGUACUGAUGCUUAUAGAUGCCAGCUUUGGGUUCGAAAUGGAAACCUUUGAGUUUCUCAACAUCGGUCAAGUACGUGGCUUUCCUAAAAUUAUGGGAGUUCUCACUCACCUCGACUCCUUCAAGUAUAAUAGGCAACUGAAGAAGACAAGCAAUUAAAACACAGGUUCUGGACAGAAGUUUACCUGGUUGCCAAGCUGUUCUACCUUUCUGGAAUGGUGCAUGGAGAAUAUCAAGACCAAGAAAUCCACAAUCUGGGCCAUUUUAUUACAGUUAUGAAGUUUAGGCCUCUCACAUGGCAGACGUCUCAUCCUUAUAUCCUGGCAGACAGGAUGGAAGAUUUGAAAAACCCAGAGGAUAUCUGAACAAAAUGUGACUGGCAGGUGUCACUUUAUGGUUAUUUAAGAGGAGCACACUUGAAAAAUAAAAGCCAAAUUCACAUGCCAGG